This 211-nucleotide ribosomal RNA is filed under the name uncultured type II methanotroph. Its description in RNAcentral is "partial 16S ribosomal RNA". It matches the Rfam family "Bacterial small subunit ribosomal RNA", at positions 373 to 606 of the family's 1533-position model. Lineage: Bacteria; Pseudomonadati; Pseudomonadota; Alphaproteobacteria; Hyphomicrobiales; Methylocystaceae. The record is from RNAcentral.
GGGCGCAGCUGAUCAGCCAUGCCGCGUGGAUGAUGAAGGCCCUAGGGUUGUAAAAUCCUUUCGUUGGGGACGAUAAUGACGGUACCCGAAGAAGAAGCUCCGGCUAACUUCGUGCCAGCAGCCGCGGUAAUACGAAGGGGGUAGCGUUGUUCGGAUUUACUGGGCGUAAAGCGCGUUAGGCGGGCUGGAAAGUUGGGGGUGAAUCCCGAGG